This 1489-nucleotide ribosomal RNA is filed under the name metagenome. RNAcentral describes it as "bacterial SSU rRNA". It matches the Rfam family "Bacterial small subunit ribosomal RNA". The record is from RNAcentral.
UUUGAUCCUGGCUCAGAUUGAACGCUGGCGGCAUGCCUUACACAUGCAAGUCGAACGGCAGCACGGGAGCAAUCCUGGUGGCGAGUGGCGAACGGGUGAGUAAUACAUCGGAACGUGCCCAAUCGUGGGGGAUAACGCAGCGAAAGCUGUGCUAAUACCGCAUAAGAUCUACGGAUGAAAGCAGGGGAUCGCAAGACCUUGCGCGAAUGGAGCGGCCGAUGGCAGAUUAGGUAGUUGGUGAGGUAAAGGCUCACCAAGCCUUCGAUCUGUAGCUGGUCUGAGAGGACGACCAGCCACACUGGGACUGAGACACGGCCCAGACUCCUACGGGAGGCAGCAGUGGGGAAUUUUGGACAAUGGGCGCAAGCCUGAUCCAGCCAUGCCGCGUGCAGGAUGAAGGCCUUCUGGUUGUAAACUGCUUUUGUACGGAACGAAACGGCUCUUUCUAAUAAAGAGGGCUAAUGACGGUACCGUAAGAAUAAGCACCGGCUAACUACGUGCCAGCAGCCGCGGUAAUACGUAGGGUGCAAGCGUUAAUCGGAAUUACUGGGCGUAAAGCGUGCGCAGGCGGUUAUUUAAGACAGUUGUGAAAUCCCCGGGCUCAACCUGGGAACUGCAUCUGUGACUGCAUAGCUAGAGUACGGUAGAGGGGGAUGGAAUUCCGCGUGUAGCAGUGAAAUGCGUAGAUAUGCGGAGGAACACCGAUGGCGAAGGCAAUCCCCUGGACCUGUACUGACGCUCAUGCACGAAAGCGUGGGGAGCAAACAGGAUUAGAUACCCUGGUAGUCCACGCCCUAAACGAUGUCAACUGGUUGUUGGGUCUUCACUGACUCAGUAACGAAGCUAACGCGUGAAGUUGACCGCCUGGGGAGUACGGCCGCAAGGUUGAGACUCAAAGGAAUUGACGGGGACCCGCACAAGCGGUGGAUGAUGUGGUUUAAUUCGAUGCAACGCGAAAAACCUUACCCACCUUUGACAUGUACGGAAUUUGCCAGAGAUGGCUUAGUGCUCGAAAGAGAGCCGUAACACAGGUGCUGCAUGGCUGUCGUCAGCUCGUGUCGUGAGAUGUUGGGUUAAGUCCCGCAACGAGCGCAACCCUUGUCAUUAGUUGCUACAUUCAGUUGGGCACUCUAGUGAGACUGCCGGUGACAAACCGGAGGAAGGUGGGGAUGACGUCAAGUCCUCAUGGCCCUUAUAGGUGGGGCUACACACGUCAUACAAUGGCUGGUACAAAGGGUUGCCAACCCGCGAGGGGGAGCUAAUCCCAUAAAACCAGUCGUAGUCCGGAUCGCAGUCUGCAACUCGACUGCGUGAAGUCGGAAUCGCUAGUAAUCGUGGAUCAGAAUGUCACGGUGAAUACGUUCCCGGGUCUUGUACACACCGCCCGUCACACCAUGGGAGCGGGUUCUGCCAGAAGUAGUUAGCCUAACCGCAAGGAGGGCGAUUACCACGGCAGGGUUCGUGACUGGGGUGAAGUCGUAACAAGGUA